GGGGAAUUAGCUCAGCUGGCCAGAGCGCCUGCUUUGCAAGCAGGAGGUCAUCGGUUCGACUCCGAUAUUCUCCAC
This 75-nucleotide transfer RNA is filed under the name Bacteroidetes bacterium OLB9. Its description in RNAcentral is "tRNA-Ala". It matches the Rfam family "tRNA". From Rfam's summary of the family: Transfer RNA (tRNA) molecules are approximately 80 nucleotides in length. Lineage: Bacteria; Pseudomonadati; Bacteroidota. The record is from RNAcentral. RNAcentral also lists the same sequence under 1 other name.